CUCACCGGGGCGGUGGUGCGAUGGUUCCAAACGGCUGGAGGAGCGUGCUUGUCGUGACGAACAGGAGGAGGCGGCUAUCGCACCGGCGGCGAGUUUCUAGCGCUGCAAACUGUAAGUGAGCCUCCAAAUCCACCUUUUAGUUUAUCCUCAGCUCCUCCCGUGAGCAGAUGCAGGGACUAUGGUGAGGCUGCUUAUGUAUGAGCACGGCGCGGUUGCCUACUGCGAGGAUGGUGAUCGUCCGGGACUAGAGCGACCCGUGGCCGGGGGACGUACAUACCAUGGCCGGCCGACGUACCGGCUCACCUCCACCUCGUUUUACAUGGAGAGAAGAUUUGGAGCAGCUACAGAUAUAUAGAUGGCACAUACAGAACUGCCAUGCUCGCACCAUUCCUCUGGGGUUCAUUUAGAUGGUUUUAUGCUGCUAUUAACUCCUUGGAGCUGCAGUCAGUUUCUUGCUUCUUUUCUCUUUUUGGCUUAGCACUCUUGUUGUUCCGCCUGUGUAAUAGCACGCCUGUGCGUUUGUUUUCUGAACUUUGCAUGUACCUCUCCUAGUUUACUCUUCUUCUUCUUCUUCUUCUUCUUCCUCCCCUCCUUACCUUUUUUUCUUAUCUUUUUGAUGAGAAACUCUCCUUACUAUUUUCUGAGAGAGAUCCCCCUCUCCUUACUAUGGAAAGUUUUUUAGCCUGAUCUCUCCCAAAUGAACGCUGAUGGUACAACCGUAAAGAUAUCACAAGUUCAUCUCCCCCCAGCAGCCGGCAGCAGAUCCUCCACUCGAAACACCAAAAGCUUCGAAAAGCAACAAAAACACAACCAAACACUUCCUACAACACCAGAACCUGGAAACCGAAGGAGAAAAAGGAAAAAGAGAGCUUCACAGCACCGAAAGAAACCCAAGAGCUAGCUGCAUCUCUGGUUACCUUCCGGGACACUUUCUACCCAUCGAUCCUCAAUACCGUCGGCGCCCUCCUAGAGAUCUCGGACACAACUUUCAGCGGGUGUCUUGCCGCUUCUUCUUUGCACUGUUUCAAUGGUGGAAGUAACUCGGUCGUAGUUGUAUUUUCUGCGCUCCUGUUUCAAGGCUUCUUUAUCUAUCUAUCUAUAUGUCUAUGUUGAAGUCAAUACCAAUCCUGCUAUUGCUGACGACUGGUUGCAAGUGGAGCAUUGGAUCUUGUGGAAGAGUUGAAUUGGAAUCAGUCAUUGCUCAGGGAUUUUUUUUAAGAGACGGAGGACAAUGAGUUGCGUUUUGAGGCCUGGAUGGCCCGCAGUGGUUCCUUCUCUCUGCGGCCCAACUAUCUUAUCUCAAGGCCGACAAACAGGGCAGCUUGGUGGGUCUGCUCAACUCUUAAACAGCGCCCGUUUCGAAGGCCGAAAAUGAGGGUGGAUUACAGGCCGAAUAAGAAGGAAGAAAAGAAUGAUGAUGACAGCCCCAUCCACUUAUCGCCACGCCGCAAAUCAGGCGAUGAUCUUACCUACUAGGGACAAUGAGUCUUAUAGAACCUCUUUCAUUUGUUGUGAAGAUAUUUGUGGUACAUAUUUGUUGAUUCAUUAGGACCCGUUUUCACUAUGUGUAAUAUUAAGAAGAUAUUUGUUGUACAUAUUUUUUUGAUUCA
Long non-coding RNA from Triticum aestivum (bread wheat), 1610 nucleotides. RefSeq lists it as uncharacterized. Lineage: Eukaryota; Viridiplantae; Streptophyta; Magnoliopsida; Poales; Poaceae. The transcript has 3 exons. The record is from RefSeq and is a predicted model, not a curated record.